RNAcentral lists this ribosomal RNA (315 nucleotides) under uncultured archaeon. Its description in RNAcentral is "bacterial SSU rRNA". It matches the Rfam family "Archaeal small subunit ribosomal RNA", at positions 1029 to 1343 of the family's 1478-position model. The record is from RNAcentral.
UUAAGUCAGGCAACGAGCGAGACCCACGCCCACAGUUGCCAGCGUACUCUCCGGAGUGACGGGUACACUGUGGGGACCGCCGCUGCUAAAGCGGAGGAAGGAAUGGGCAACGGUAGGUCAGUAUGCCCCGAAUAUCCCGGGCUACACGCGAGCUACAAUGGUUGGUACAAUGGGUAUCUACCCCGAAAGGGGAUGGAAAUCUCCUAAAGCCAAUCUUAGUUCGGAUUGAGGGCUGCAACUCGCCCUCAUGAAGCUGGAAUCCGUAGUAAUCGCGUUUCAACAGAACGCGGUGAAUACGUCCCUGCUCCUUGCACA